Molecule: long non-coding RNA, 947 nt
Organism: Biomphalaria glabrata
Lineage: Eukaryota; Metazoa; Mollusca; Gastropoda; Planorbidae
Exons: 3
Source: RefSeq, a predicted model, not a curated record
UAAACGCCAUUUUAACGUUUUAAAGGUUAUAUAAAGUAUAUGAUAUAUCGUUUACACUUUGAGCUUCUACACCAAUUGUUGUACCGAAGUAUCAAAAAGUAUUUAAACAUAAGCAAGUUUAUAUGCUAUCUAACAUUGCAAUCUAUAUCGUAGAUGAUAGAGAGUUGAUCUGUUUCUAUAGCCAAUGGUUGUCAAGGGUGUAGUGUGGCCGGCACAUUGACCAACUGCCUUUUAUUUCCCCACAAUUAAUGUCAGAUACCAAUAAAACUUGGGUGGACUACUGAAGCGUCCAAAUUAUCCCGAAAUAAAAAUCCCAGUCUUUACCAGGAAUUGAACACAAGACCUAUCGGUUCCGAAGUCAAGCGCUCUACCACUCAACAACCACGCUGUAUAGUAUCUAGUUACCGUCUGCUGCUUUUGUAAGAACUAUUUGUCUACUUGUCACAGCCUCCAAUGGCGAAGCGUCCGAAUGACGUCUCUGGGUCAGAAUGUAAUUGUAGGCUUAAAGUAAAUUGUCCACAGGUUUAACAUUACAGUCAGCUGUGAGGGACAAUUUGUUGCUGAUUCUCGCAGGUGUUAGGAGACAUACGGGGAUACAGACGUUUACUGCUGCUAGGUUUUAACUCCGGACAACUCACGACUAAACAAAUCCAGAAUGCGAACUAUUGUUAAUUUCUUUCUGACUCUUUGUUUCUUCUUUUUGGAUGCAACUUCUCUGGUCAAUAUUUUGCUGGGAGACACAAGAAACAAGUCAGCUACUCGACGAAUGUACAGACAGAUGAAUGAAGCUUCUAGAACAGCGAGACUUCCAUCCAGAUUGAAAUCCCAGUUUUAUUUAGUAAAACAAAAAAAGACAACAAAUCAAUGAUGCUUAUGAUCCACCAAUUAAUCUAGAGCGCUUAAUUGUGUCCACCAUUUAGAAAAAAAAAUGGUCUUAUUAUCCUUCA